RNAcentral lists this long non-coding RNA (3976 nucleotides) under Trifolium pratense (red clover). RNAcentral describes it as "long non-coding RNA (TPRA_LNC011184)". Lineage: Eukaryota; Viridiplantae; Streptophyta; Magnoliopsida; Fabales; Fabaceae. The record is from RNAcentral.
GGAGAAGUAGGGUGACAUUGAGUUCUGUCUGUCCUCUCGUGUGCGUGUUGAGUUAAGUUGAGUCAGAGAAAAGGUGAACCCUAAAAAUAGUAAAGUUCGAGUUCUGUUAUCUCUCUCGUUUUCCUCUUUCAUGCUAGAUCUGUAAAUCAUCUUCUUCUUCUCGUUUUUAUAUUAUUUUCCUCUUUCAUGCUAGAUCUGUAAAAAAAAAGAAGAGAAUUACGCUGACAUAUUGUUUUUUUAUUUUUUUUUAUUUAUUUUCCUCUUUCAUGUUAGAUUUGUAAUUCUUCUUCUUCUUCUUCUCAGAUUUUAUUAAAACACAAAUUUAGAUCUGAUAUCAUAGGGAUAUGCCAUCAACCUUCUUUAGUGUAAUUUCUCCAUCCAGAUCUGCAAUUUGUUUUUUUUAAACUUGUGAUUGAUAAAUAAACAUAUUUCUUCAAAUAUUUGCUGCAAUUGAUGCCUCCUUUGCUUUUAUGUGGAUUUGUUUUUAUCUAAGUUUUGAUGUGAAUCUGUUUUCAUAGAAAAUAUAUGUUACAAUUUUUUAAAAAGGAAUGAUAGACAUCUUUUGUGUAAAUUGCUGUUAUCUUUCAUAUAUUAGAAUUAGAAUGGCCUCUCACCAAAUUCCUUCGCAGUAAUGAAUCUAAUGAUGUGAAACUUAUCAUACCUAUCUAUCUAUCUAUCUAUGGUUAGCUUGUAAAUUAGUGUUACAUAUCAUGAGAUAAGCAUCAUAUCAUAUUAAUCCAUGAAGCCUUUUGUAUGUAUUGUGUUAACAAUACAAGCUUGUUAUUCAAUUUAUGACGUGUAAUUUCUUAUAUAGGUUUGGGAUCUAUCUCACUGUGACGGGUAGAUUAACAAGACCAUGCAAUUCAAAACCAGGAAGCAAAUGCUUAUUCAAAUGCAAUUCACUGGUUAGAAAAUUGAGGAAUGGUUGAAAAACAGAAGUUCUCUUGUCUACUCGGUAGCGGCCUUGAUCGGCUCAAUCGCCUCACUGGUUAGCAUAAGGUAUUGUAACUUCACAUAUCACAUAUAUUUAUAUAUAAACAAACACAAAAAUAUAAUACCUAAACAAAAGUUAAUUAAUAUUAUCAUUUCCAAAUGUCACAAACAGUCACAAAAUAGUUACAUUCCAAAUGUCACAAACAUGAUGUUACACUUCAAUUUUCCAGUUCAAUUUGAAUCGUUUCUCUUUGAAGCAAAACAUGUUUUUUGAUUUGUACACCUGGUUGAAAAUUCUUCCUUCACGUUGUAUCAACACUUCCCUUUGAGUGGUAAUUCCAACUUCAUUUCCAGGCUGUUUGGUAAUUCUAAACUGAAACACAUUUUCUUCAAUUUUUGCAAAAUGUCCCAUCUGAAUACAAAAUCCAAGUUCAUGCUCAUUGACCCAUCCCACAUUCCCUUGCAUUCCCUUACGUUUACUGUAACAUAAAAAAAUUUAAAAUUAACAACAAAUUAUAAUAUGAAUUUGAGAAAUUGAAAUAUUUAUUAUUUUAUUAAAAAAAUUCACUUACACUUGAAUACCAAUAUCGAUCCGUCCAAAAUCAACCCACAGAGCUGUACCAAGGGUUGUUGGAUUUCCGAUACACAAAUCUGUGGUGAACUUCAUUAUUUCCCCAGCUCUUAAACCUCCGGAAACCGUCAAGCUACUUCCAUGCUCAUACAUAGCUUGUAUCAAGCCAUCCAUGGGUGUGUUAAAGGGGGGUACCAUUGGUAUAUUUGUUGGAAUUGGAAUGUCUUUCCAUACAACAGAUUCCAUUCCAAUUGACUGAAAUUAUGAUUCAAAUUAUGUAAAUCAGAUUGAUAAACUUUGAUUAGGCUACAUCAACAACAAAAAGCGCAGCUGCUUUGUUAACCCUAAUUAACUUAAAUUAAUUUCCCUCCAAUUGACAUUAGGUUACAUUAACAAAAAAAACGCAGCUGCAUUAAAAAAUGCCCCAACAACAUCAAUCAAUGCUGUUUAUAGAGCCACUAAGAUGACUACCCUAACUAUCUAUUAAUUACAUGGUCUGCCACUAUACAUAAUCAGUUUGAAUUAGAAACCUUUGCUUGCCUUAAAAAUAUGAAAAAGCAGUUAUACCCUACAUUAAUGCAAUUUACAACGCGUGAAAACCAACGAGGAAAAACUAUACUUCAUACUCUCUUUUCAUCUUUCACGUUCUGAAUAUUUUUACUCCUUUCUCUCUGAUUUUUCACUCUGUUUCAAUACACAACGAAAGAACACAGUUUGUGCCUUCCACAGCGGUGCCGUGAAAAUUGCCGUCGCCGUCACACCACUAAACCGUUUGUGCUCUUAACAUCGUUGUUAUGAUAUCAUGAUAUCACUUUAUGUUCUUGCCCUUUUUGCAAUUUCUUUGAGUUUGUGUUCUUUUCCCUCUCUUCCUUUUCCUUUUCUCUUCUUCAAUUGUUCAUGUGUAGUUUAUUGUUUUCAAUGUUUUGCUUGAAUGAUUAUAAAAAAUGUUAAAUUUACUAAUUCAUGUUUUUUAUGGUUAACUAUCGUUUAAUAUAAAUAUUGUUUUCCUUCGUUUUGUUGUUGUUAGGGUGAUCCGUAAUGUUUUGUGAUUAGGAUUUCAAGCACAUAUAUGAUGUUAUCAACGCAAGGAAAUUGAAGAUAUUGAUCCCUCUCAAUCAAGGUAUUGGUGUUUUGGUGGAGUAAGUUUCAGCUCAAUUUCAAUUAUUGGGUUUCUCAAUUUUAGGUUUUGUUUAUGGUUUUUGUUUCUUUGCUGCUUGUUCUUCUAUGUUUUUUUUCUGUAUCAUUCUUGCUGAUUUUUUCAUCAUCUUCUUGCAAAGAAAUUAGAAGCCUCAUCACAUUUGAGGUAUAAUUAUUUAGAUAAAAAAUAAAUUCUUCUUAUAAGUUACAAACAAUAGAAGUUUUAUCAUGUCAUUAUCUUCUUGAUUAUGAAUGAUGACAAAUUUAAUAAGUUUGAUUGAUGCAACCAGGCAAAUUUAAUACAUGUUGCUGUGUUUUUAUAUUGUUAUCCCAAUAUCAGUUUUAGCUAUUAAACUAAUUGAUUUUAGGGGUGGAUAGCUUAGUAGGGAUAGAAUCAUGGGAUUAAAUGCAUUAUAGGUGUUUGAUAAAAUGGCCAUAAGAAAAUUAUGGUAUUUAGCAUCAUAUGUUUUUGGUAGGAUUAGAAGACAAAUAUUUUAUAACAUGAGUUAGAUUGUGAUAAAUAAAAUAUAACUAUAUGUCAUGGACAUUUAUAAUAUGCAUCAUUCUUAACCAUGCAAGUGUUGUCCUUAACUUAUAUGCUUAAAAGGUGGUUCUUAUCAUAAAAAGACAAUUUCCUAUUUCCUUUCUAGGUUACACCCUUACAUUAUGGUAUGGAUUUACCAUCUAUGCCCUCAUUUGUACCACUAUUUAACUAUUAUCAAUUACCAAUGAUAUUGUGUAUAUAAUCUUCACUCUUUGCUAUCUACAUAUUUUAUACCAUUUUGUUCGGUGAUUGAUUGAACUUCAUUUAUUUUGUCUUAGUAGCGACAACAUAUUUUGGAGGAAGAUGAGUAUGUUAACUAAAAGUCUCAAGCCAACGACAAUGAAGAAGAUGAGGUAGAUUCGUUCAUUAUUUUCUUUAAUUUUUCCCUCUUCAAAAUUGGUUGCUUUCAAUGUUCAUUGAUUAGUCUUCCAAACUUUAUAUUUCUUUGUUUUCUUGAUUAUUUGGUUUUGGAAAUUAUGAUCGUAAUCUUUUAAAGUUUAAAUACUUUGAUUGAACUCACUGCUCCGACUUCCCAUAUACAUUGUCUCUUAUUUAUGUACAAAAACAAGUCAUGAAUCAUUUUCUUAUGUGUGUACAAAAACAAGCCAAUCCUUUUUUGGUCUCUCCUUUUCACAGAUCAAAUGUUAACAAUGGCUAAUCAGUGUUUUCCUAUUUAAUUUUCAGAUUGGAAGCUUACCGGCAACACUUAAACCAAUUUUCUUAACUAGCAUUCCAAAUCUGGUGCCAUAAAUGAAGCCGACACCAGUCAUGGAAGCGACAGCCAUGAAUCU